Molecule: transfer RNA, 72 nt
Filed under: Camelus bactrianus (Bactrian camel)
Lineage: Eukaryota; Metazoa; Chordata; Mammalia; Artiodactyla; Camelidae
Also listed under: 2 other names
Rfam family: tRNA
About the family: Transfer RNA (tRNA) molecules are approximately 80 nucleotides in length. Their secondary structure includes four short double-helical elements and three loops (D, anti-codon, and T loops).
Source: Rfam by way of RNAcentral
GAGGGUGUAGCUCAGUGGUAGAGUGCAUGCUUAGCAUGCACAAGGCCCUGGAUUCAAUCCCCAGUGCCUCCA